This 20128-nucleotide long non-coding RNA is filed under the name Coffea arabica (coffee). RNAcentral describes it as "long non-coding RNA (CARA_LNC006734)". The record is from RNAcentral. Lineage: Eukaryota; Viridiplantae; Streptophyta; Magnoliopsida; Gentianales; Rubiaceae.
UUUUUUUUUUUUUUUUUGUCUCUUUGAGUCCAAAUUACUGAAAACCUACAUUCCGUCACACAAUUAACAUAACCAAAUAUACCUAAUUUUAAUCAAAGAUUAUAAUUACAAAUAAAAAAGACUUACCAAACCCAAACAAAAAAAAGAUCUCAGUCUGCUGCAGAGAACCAUACAUUUGUGAGACAAGUUGCCAUCAUUAAUAUAGAUGCUCAGCUGGCAAGUUUAGCAAAAUAAACUAAAGAAUGGCAUGCUAAUUAAUUAAUGUAGUACCUAGUUCUUUAAAUUUUGCAGCUGUAUCAGAAAUCCACCAAAAUUAUAAUUCUGCAAUGAUGGGGUUCCAUUAUUAUUAGGGGUCCCCUCGUUCCUUCCUCUCUAACCAACAAAAGAAGUGAAGUUUACAGAAGAAAGAAAGGAAAAAUUAACUGGAAAAAAAAAAACAGUUAUUCUAAUCUAAAUGCAUCAGUGAAGUUGGUAAUGAAUUUCCAGGACCAUUUGCAUUGAAAAUUCAAUUUUUGAAUUCAAAACUUUUCUUUUCUUUUUUUUUUGGUGGGAUUGAUGCAUACACAAGAUAAUCAACCGCACAAGAAUUAAUUACAGACAUGUGGGAUGAAAACUAACACCUUAGAUUAUAGACUGAACUCAGCAUUCAAAACUUUAGUCAAGAAUACAUAAUAACUAGUGACUAGUCAAAAUGCUUACCCGGAUUGUACUGCAUUACUCUGAUGGAUGAAUUUAUGCAAGAAGUAGAGAACCAAAUAUUAUACACUUCAUCAGUUUAAGUUUCCCUCUCCUUUCUCUCCGUUGUUUUACCCGUUGCCGGAGUUUUAAGUUCCAUUUUCUCCUCCUUCCGUCUCUCUCUCUCUCUCUCUCUCUCUCUCUCUAUAUAUAUGGCUUUAAGAUUAUUCCUGCAGCUUUGUAGUAGUUGAAGUAGAUUGAUUAAUGUGUGGUCAAUCGUAUACUUCUUGCAAGAUUUAUUGUCCCUUUGUUAUGCCUUCCAAGUAAAUCAUGCUGUUACGGUAAUCUGGAUUACUUUUCCAGGCGGUGGACACUUCUUAAGCUAAAUUAAAGAAUUCGAGAUACCUACUCCUAAUCCAUUCGAAAACAGAUUGAGAUUAUAGUUUAAAGGAUUCUAUUUACGAGCUCAGUUCAGUUUUCUCAAAAUCCAAGCUCCAAAAAGUAUAGUGGACAUACCUAAUUAUUGCUCUACUGAAAAUGGUUUAUUUUGGAUGGGAAUGUGAUCGAUUUGUCACCUAAGAUUGUUUUGAUCAAAAUGGGCAGAGGCACAAAUCAACGGGUGAAGAAUCCAGAGGGAUAAAACCCUACAAAGGAAGAAACCCUCAAAUUGGUCACCACCACUUGUUUCUUUGAUCAUUUCUUAACGCAUUCUCAAAUUGGGUUGGAAGCAAAAGAAUUCAACAUUUAUAAUUUAUUCGAGUUCUAAAAAACUAUUCAAGAAUAUACAUGACUGGCAAUGAAUCAUUCAUUUUCUCACUUUACAUAUCAGUGGAUGAAUUGUGAUUACUUGGAUAGUAUAUAUACAGGUACGGGGAAUACGUCAAUGCAAGAAGUUUUUCAAAUCUGGAACUUGCUCAAGGUCUACUUGUAAGACAAGCAAUUUCCCUUCCCUGGCAAUUCUUACAUCGCGUGGACUCCAUGCAUGCACAUGGCUGUCUUUCUGUAAGCUGGAGCAGUUACUUUUUUUUCGGAAAUAACAACAGUUGUAUAACCUAAUCUAUUCUACACUAAGGGGAGGGACGGAUCUAAGGAGGUCCAGAAAUAACUCGGAAGGGGACUGAACCACUACCAAAUCAAACGAGUGCACAAUACACCCGUCUGAAUUUUUUGAAACAAAUCACUUAAAUGUGGUAUUUUGACCUCCCACUUCACCAAGCUAGGUGGUGGGCUGGUGGUUAGCUGGAGCAGUUACUUGGUCAAAGCUCCAUUAUAAUUUCCACAGCCAGGCAGUGCUUUUGUCACAUGAUAAGGUUUCCCACCACGUGCAAUACUACCGUCUUCAAUCAAAACAAAUUAUUAUCAUCAGUUAAAGUGUCCCCAAGAUUAGGUAACUUAAUUGCAUGGGGGGAUCAGAAGGACAAGGAGCUCAAAAAUGGAAGAAAUUAAGGGAGAUUGUGCAAUGAACUUUUUUCAUCCAGUUGUACAUGGCUCGUUUUAUUUUAUUCCAAAAGUGAGAUGACUAAAUAUGUUCAUCAAUAUCUAUGAGACAGAGUUUUUGAAUUUUUAAGUAUUUUUUUUUUUCAAGUUUUCUAGGGUAUGGUUGUGGACAGUUGUUCGAGUGAUUUUCACUCUUGAAAUUUGAUUCUGGCAUUGCUUAGAAUAGUUCAUUUGGUUUUGCAUCUGCCCUAUUUCUCCAGUAGCAUUAUUCUUUUGGCAAGUUAACAUACAAAAAGAAAAAGAGUGGAUUCUAGGGAGAUUACAGUCGUGAGUGGGGCUAUGUGGUGGAAUUCCAUAUGAUGAGAUUGUCUGCUACUACAUGAUUUCGUGAAAGCAUCUCAGUCAUUUCGCAAUCUUCUUGUUUCAGGUUAAAUAGGAGCACCAUUUAUUGGUCAGUUCACUAAUAAUUACAGAACUUUUAUGUAGAUAAAACAUGAUCUGCUUUACAUAACCAUGAAAGUAGUUCUCCGUCAAUGCAAAAAUCCAUCUCUCCUUCAUUAUUUUAUUUCCAGUAAUUUUUUUGAAGACUUGGAAACACAGAAAUCUGAGUGCAGAGUCAGCAACAGCAGGUCCAGCCCAGUGAUUCAGACAGUAGGCAGCCUGGAUUGAAAGUUUUAAAAAAUUUCAAGAGCCAGGUUUUACACACACACAAAAUCCACAGGCCUGAUACUGAGAAUCAACUCUAUUCUGUUUGCUCAUACAAUUACAGGCCCGCGUCAACUUAUUCUGUGAACCCAUGCGUAUACCACGCCAAUUCUCUAUGAGCUUAUUAAGUUUAUUUCUCUUUUAUUGGAGAAGCAUGUUCAGACGAAGGGAUUCAAGGCCUUUGCAAUCGUCCGUUUCAAUUGCAAUUAACACCAUACACUAAUUUGUUAGAUUUUGAUUUAGCGAUCAAAGUUAAAUCCCCACGAGUCGGAGAUUUUAAACUCAAAUUUCACUAUGUGUGAAUAUAUGUGAAUUUCAUCUUUCACUGCUGAUUGUUCUCCAUUUUUUUUUUUUUAAUAAGUUGAAGGUCUUGAAUCUAGAAUCUACCACUCAAUCCAAUCCUCCCCUCUCAUCUUCUAGUAAUAAGUUUAUUUGUGAUAUCAAUGAGUUAGUAAAUUUCUCGCUUCAUAAAUUAGUUUAUGCAUUCCAUGAUUCUAGAAAUUAUACCAACAGUGGAGGAUGCACUAAAACGAUCAUUGUCGAUAAACAACAAGAUGAAUAGAGAAAACUAACGUAAUAAUCAAAACAAACUUCAUCCUAAUUAUGUCUUACAUUUGGUUACAUAAAUCCAAUGUCAAAUGAUAUCCCAAUUGAGUCAUUAACCGAAACUUGCAAUUGCCGAGUAGUUUCUUAAUGUCACGGAUUGUUUGUUUUCAGAUGAACGUAGCGUACUUGAACAGCCGCUCCACCACAAUAAAAAUGUGUCAGGAGUCAGGACUACUAUAUACAGUGUGCGAUCCAUGUCGUGGAGGUUGGGUGCGAUCCGUGUCAUCAAGAGCCCAAGACAUCAGCACGACAAGAGUAGGUGCCUACUCCCAGUCAUUGCAUCGUUGUCGGUGUUGCGGUUAAAGCUUUGUCAGGCCAAGAUAUGGACGUCAUCAUUACAUCACAAAGUCGACUAGGCUUUGUUUUGGGAUAAUUUCAGAAACUUCCCUGAGGUUCGUGACAAUUUCACUAAACUGUCUCGAGAUUUUAAAAAUUAUACUUACCUCCCUUAGGUUGACAUUUUUGUAACAAAGCCUUAAACUUGGUCAAAAUUUUAAAUGAAAAACCUAAAAUGUCCUUAGUUUAUAAAGUUUAAAUUACUGAUCAUUCCAAACCAUUGAAAAAUAAUUCAACACAAAUGUAAAGGAAAAAUGUCAAGUGUUCAAUACAAAUCUAAGAGAAGAGUGUCAAGUUUCUAAUGCUCAUUUAUUGUUUGAUAAGCAACAACAAUAAUUCUAUCAUUAUGAUACGAUAUUAUGGUACUUUUCUAUAGAUAUAUAUAUAUAUAUUCCUUUUAUGUUGCUGAAGAGAGCGUCGUCAUAAUUCUUGUAGAAUUUGUGGAUUUUUAAAUUUGGUAGUUCUCUCUUUUUGAGUUAUUGUUACUUUUGAUUAAAAAAAAUUGGUCACAUUCAAAGUUUGUUAAGGAAAAUAUAAAUAUAUAUAUAUCACUAGUCCAACAUUUGAUAAUCAUAGAGGUUAAGGUCAAUGUUAAUAGUUCUAUGGUUUUACUGCCAAAAUAUAAAAAGGAGAAAUAAGAAGAGAAAAUGAAAAGAUUAAAUAAUUAUAAAAUCUAUCUUUUGUAUAAGCAUGCCCAACAAGAAAUUUUAUUAAAAUGUUAAAACUAGUUUUUUUAUUGUCAUUUUAAAUGGACGAGGGAAGUAAAUAUAAUUUUUAAAACUUCAAGGAAAUUUAGUGAAAUUGUUAUAAAUUUCAGGAGAGGUUUCUAAAAUUAUACCUUUUGUUUUUGGAGAGAGAGAGAGUGUGUAUAUGUGUGUGUGUGUUUGUGAAGUUUAUGCAGUCGUUGCAUUGCAUCAGUUCAUUUUCUGCAUCAGAGUCUUCUUUAGAACAAUUCUUUAUUUCUAGAAAAUGGAGCACUGAAUGGAAAUAAAAACGAAAAUUUCCUAGUCACUCGCAAUAACUUCUUGGAAUACAGCAUUUGGAAUAUCAAAAAGGCCCUUUUUCACCCUUUUGGGUUUCAAAGACAUUAGGCAUUGCUAACUUGGAAUUUGAAUACGAGAAAAAGAAAACAAUAAAGGGCUUAGCCAGCAGUAAACAACGAACGGUAAUUACAUCUUUUUUGUUUUGCUCUUUUUCUAAAUUUUAAGAUGCAGAUCGAGAAGACUUAACAAGGGCCAAUAUUCAAAAAAUGCGAAAAGAAAUUUGCAAAAAGAAAAAGGACACUACGGAUAGAGAAGGCAUGCUAGCAUUAACUGCAUGCUACUAGUAGCAUUUCCUCUGGGAAUAAAAAAAAAAAAAAAAAAAAAGUGGCUAGUACGUUAGUUCAAGUCCUAGGAAUCUCCGAAACAGAGACUGCAUGAUCACCAGAGGGGUGGAUUUUCUUGAACAUGGCAAAAAAGCAACUGCCAGAAGUGGGCUUCCCAGUUUGAUGAUUGCCAUGAUGAUGAUCAGCAUGGACCACUUUUCCUGAUCCAGAAGCGGCUGCCAGCUCUUCCAUUUUUUUUGUCAUCUUCAUUUUCUGAAGCUUCUUCAUUACCACGAUCUCUGCAAAACCAAUGCUAGGAGUUGACAUGAUAGCUGGAUUAGAGGGCAAAGAAGAAGGCUAAGAAUUGUGCUAGUAGAAUAGAAGAAUGGGGAGGUUGGAGGUUUGAUUGUGAAAUAUAUACUGAUCAGAGUGUUAUAGGUUUCUUGGCUGUGUUGCAAUAAAAUGAAUGAGGCAUUUGUUUUUCUGAAAUCUGGGAACUAUUUGGACUAAGUGGGAGACACAUUAAAUGCCCACAAGACAAUUGAAAAAACAAUGGCAGAAGCCGUGGGAAACAUAAAUCUCUUAAGUAGGGUCCCCGAAUUGGAGAGGACUUGGAAUUUUCCCCCCCUCAACACACUUCUGGGGUGUAGAUGUCUAACAGGCUAUAAAGAUUUUUAUCUGAUUUUCACGUUUUCCUUUCUUUUGCUAACUAUCAUCGUGGUCAUGGAAUGUCAAUGUGCUUUCAGACAAAUAGUAGGAAAUAGAGAAUUGAUGCUAGUGUGCAUCUUUGCAAAUAUUUUUUUAAAUUUUUCAAAUUUAUAUUUUUAUGGACUAUAAUUUUAUGAUGUUAUGGUAGUACUAACAAUUGUUUCUUAGAUGGUUUUUUUUUUUUUUGGGAGUAAAUAAUUUGGCUUAGGAGUAUAUUUAUUAAGCAAAAUGAGCAAAUGGUAUUUUUAGGAUUUUUAAAAAUUUUGUUACACCAAUAACAAAGAUAAGUGAAGUAAGUGAUAUCUUUAAAAUUUUAAGAAUGUUAAGUAAUAUUAAGAGAUACCUCAUGAGAGGUUCUGAUAUUAUCCCUAGUACUUAAUAUCUAUUUUCGAUAUGGUGAUUUCUGCCAUAUUAAAAAUGGUACUUUUCGUAAUGCGGGCAAUGAGCAUAUGCCUAAAUAAGAAUUUUUGUGAGUGGAGUUGAUAAAGAAAGGUUUAAAAACUAAGGGAAAAAAGUCCCAAUGGCUCACGAACUUUUAACUACAUAAGGUUUUAGCCCUUCAAUAUUUAGAAGUAAACUUUUGGCCCCCGAUCUAUCAAUAAUGUAAAUUGCUGGUCCUUCUGUGAAUUCUGGCCGUUUAUGUGUGACAAAAAUGAGGACAUUUUUGUCCAUUCAGGAAUAUUAAUCGAAUAUCCAAAGUAUCAAUGGACACCUCAAUCAAAAUGGACAUUAACUCACAAAUAUACACAGGAAAAAACCUCAAAAAUCCCAUUUUUUCAUUCUCUUUUUAAUAUUUUCACACAAUUAAGUGGAUCUGAAACCAAACCUUAUGUACCUCCUCCUCUAUGCACUUUUCUCCAUGUGAAAUUGAGUGAGAGAGAGAGAUAGCAAUAAGACAAAAAAAAAUAUUCAGCAAUGGAGAGAGGAGGUGGCGAUGGAUCUUUGCAAUUGAUGCUUUCUUCUCUAUGCUUGCUUUUCUCCUUUCUCAUCUUUUGUAUCAUGCUUCUAUCAAGGAUGGGUUUCUUAAGAAAAGGAAAAAGAUGAAGGAUGGGUUUCUUGAGAAAGUGAAGAAUUCCAAUCAAGAUAAUGGAAAGAAGAUUAAAGAAUCAUUGGAUUUGGAAAACCCACUAUGGAUGUCAUCGGACCCAUCAGCUAUUGUUUUUCUUUUGCUUUGAAGCUACAAUGCUUAUUACUUUUACCUUCCAGGGGGUCACCCCUAAAGAGUUUCAUAUGGUAUAAAAUUAAUGAUUGUAAAUAGGGAAAAUGACAUGUUUUAUCAUUCACAUUUCGUAAAAAUAUUCUUUUCAUCCCUCACUUUUAAAAUGAAGCAAAUUUGUUCCUGACAUUUAAAAAUUAAAACUAUUAUAUCCCUGAACCUAAUUUUCAAUCUGAAUCAAACCAUUCAAUAACCCAAUAAUAAAUUUUAAAAAUAGAAUUGAUAGAUCACUCGGUCAAUUUCAUCAUAUUCACAUGACAUUUAUUAAUCCAAAAAGAUAUAAAUUAUAACAUAAAAGGCCAUUCUUUGUCUUGAAAUAGUAGAGUUUUGUUUGGGUAAAUCUUUUCAUACAUCGUUAGUAUAUCAGUUUGCGAAUCUAGAUGUGUAUCAUAAAUAUAAAAUUUGGUGUUUAAAUUUAAAUUGAAAUGAUAUGGCGGUACAUAAAACCGUCAGUAUAUACAAUGAUAAUGUAGGAAAGAUUAAUCGUUCUUUUUUAUGUUAUAAUUUUUUAUUUUUUAUUUUUGAGUUCAUUAAAUUUUACAUGAAUAUCAUGUUGAAUUAACCAAGUGAUCUACCAAUUACACCUCUAAAAUUUCUAAUCAGGUUGAUUGGUGGUUUGAUUCAGAUUGAAAUUUGGAUUCAGGGAUAUAAGAACUUCAGUUUUUAAAUGUCAAGGACGAAAUUGCUUCGUUUAAAAAGUGAGGGAUGAAAAGAAUAUUUUUGUAAAAUGUGAAGGACGAAACCGAUCAUUUUCCCUUGUAAAUAUGUUGAUUUUAUUUGCAUUUGUAAGAUUCAAAAAACCCAUUUGUUCGUUUUAUAAGUUUUGUACAUAUCUGUGUUAAAGAGUGACUUUUAGGCGGUAAAAAUUUGGAAUCUUUGAAAUUUCUUAAUUUUUUAAUUUUGUCCUUUAAAUAGGCGUCAUAGGAUUUGUUGCAUUUGGGUAGCAUUGUUAAAGUUGAGGAGAAGUUUGAUUUUACAGAUUUCAUUAGAGAAAAUGGUUUUAUUUUUUAGCAGGAGUUUGAGUUUACUGAUUAAUAUUUCUACAUGGACAAGAAUGCCCUCAUUUCCGUUACUCAUAACGGCUGAAAUUCACAGAAGGGUUAACAAUUUACACUAUUCAUAGAUUGGAGGCCAAAAGUUUCUUUAUAAUUGUUGAAGGGCUAAAAUUUUAUUUGGUUAAAAGUUGAAGGGUCAUUGAGACUUUUUUUCCCAAAAACUAACCACUAGAUGGAAGGAUUUAGUUAAAAAACUAGCCACUUGAUUAGUGAAGUACUUAAUUAUGACUGGAAAUGAUAAAGAACUGGAUAUUUCGCUUAUCUCUUUUUUUUUUUUUUAUGGGUGGGCUUAUCCUUAUCCUUCAAUGCAUAGCAUAACGUACUUAACAAUGAAAAUAAAAAAUGAAAAAGGAAGAAAACCACCUCCCUUCCAUCCGUUAAAAAAAAAGGUUGUAGGGCUUGCGUUGUUUUUGUUGGGAGAGAGGGAGCAAAACAAUGGGGAGACUGCAAAAGAAAUUAUUGGGCCUCAUUUGUUGUUCGACACUGUUUGACUUCCGUGGUCCCAAAAUUAUUUUUGAAGUAUAUAAAGGUUUUUUUUUAGGGUAAAGGAAAUAUAAAAAGGUGAAACUCAAUUGGUAGGGAAAUUUUUAAAUCAAUCAUUGUUGCUUUUUCUUCCUCAGUUUCCUUAAACCAAAAAAAAAAAUGAAAGGAGGAAAAAAAAAAAAAAAAGAGUGACUCGAUGUAUGUUCAAGACCAUAACGUAAGUUGUGGCAAAUUCUUUUUUCUUUUUGAAAGAAGGGAAACUUACACACUUUAGGCCUGUUUGAAAUUGCAGUAACUUAUAAAAAAACAAUUCUGAUACAAGUAUUUUUUUUAAAAAAUGAUUUUAAAUUACCAAAAAUUGGACUCUUUAAAUUACGAGAAAUUAGUUAUCAAACACAUUAGGAGUAUUUUUAGCAGUUAAAAGAACUUUUUUUUUGAGGUCCUGAAGAUUGGCAAAAAAGAUGAAGUGAAAAAAAUGUUAAAAUGGAUGCAAAAUGACAUGGGAUAGACCUUUAGGGGAAAACGUCACUCGAGAUGGAGCAGAAGGCCAUAUGUAACACUCAAAGUUACAAGCUAGAUAUUUCUGCUGAAAUUGAUAAAGUGAAAAAAAAAAAAAAAAAAACCGGCAUGAACAAGCAGCUGAAGACGACCAACAAGAUCAAAUGGAGUUACAAUAGCUAAGGUUCUAGCCUAAAGAAUUGGAAUAGUGUCAUCGCUGUUCUAUUUCUGCAAUAUAUUACUGUUUUAUUGGUUUUUGGUUCUUCUAUUGUUGCUUGUGAGGUUUUUAAAAGAGUUUCCCUUUCUCUUGACUGAUUUUUUGUUUCGUUAGUUUUUGUCCCGACUUGUUUUUCUUUCACUUUCCUUCCAUUUUUGCUAAAUUGAUUACUUUUCUUUCUCAUAAACGCUGUCCUAUACAUGCAAGAAACAGCGUUCAAGUCUGUCUUGGGUUUUUUAGUUUUACGAAAAUUAAGAUAGACAACAAAAAAAGUUUACAAGCAAAAGGAUGACUCAUUUUGCUAUCCUGUCAUUUUUCUUCUCAUUCAAAUGAGUCUAUCCUUUUACUUUUCAUAAUCAACAGAACGUAGAUGUGCAAAAGUAAAACAUUUCAAGGGCUGUACUCAAAGAAACCAAAAAAUAAUAACAAAAUCGAAAAAAAAGUACAAAUUUAGUUGGGGUAAAUUUGAUAAUGGUUGAUAUGAUACUAAAAUGUGCUUUUCCAGCUCUUUGGCUGGAUGCAUUUUUUUUGAGUUGCGGAAAUAUAAAGACAUGCAAGCAAUAGAAGUAAAGCUGGGAUAUAUGGAAGGUGUACUUCUUAGUUUGCUUUCUACAUGGAGACAGAUUUAUCAAACCAAUUUAAUUGAUCGAUCACCCCAAGUGAACUUAAUUUAAUUGCAACUUAACCAGAUAUAUUGAUUAUUAAACAAAUCAGGUAGGUAAACUUCAACAUCGUAACCAUACAUCUUUUGGGACAAGCACAUAAUGAAAUACUAUCAAACAUCACACAGAUCACAUAGAUACUAAUCUAAGACACUCUCAAAACUCUUACCAAAAACCUAUUUGAAUUGCAAGCAGGAAAAUAAUGGCAACAGGUUGAUGGACUCGGAACCAGAGCUGUCUUUCACGGGGCAAUGUAUACGGCCACGGGAACUUAUUUGCUAAGCUAGUUAGGAGAUCCUGAUAAGGGCAGACUCGUUGGAUGGAUCUUCUUGAACAUCCUCAAGGAGAAGCAACCACCAGAAAUGGUCUUUUCUGCAGGAUGAUUAUGCUCAGCUACUUCCUGAAUACGUACACCCUGCAUUCUUUUGAUCUUCUCUUUAUGCAGCCGUUUCAUAGCAUAUACCUCUGCCAUGCCACCAGUAGCUAUGGACAUGGUGAUGAUUUCUGAACAACUUUUGUGGACGAAGCAAGAAUCAAUUAGAGAAAAAGAAUUUGAUAUCUGUUGUGGGGAGUUGCGAGGGUUGCAACUUCUUUAUGGCUCUAUUUGUAGUCAAGAAACCGUACUUUUUUGUUACGAACGGGGCCUUGGGCGACACCGACGGGCACUUUGGCUUUCAAGUGGAAACCAUAUCCCAUGAAUAAUCAAAUAUGGUACGAGCACCCAAUGAAAAAGUAUCAUGUGACAAAAUCUGAGGUGGCGUUGCAGCUAAAUAUUGGUCAUUUGGCACUCAGAUGUCUUCGCACCAUAAAUAACUCUAGUAAUCUUUAAUUAGGUAAGAUAAUAUUCUUUCAUUUUUUUUAAAUUCAAGGUGAAACUCUAAAAUUUAUAAAAAAGGAAAAGCACAGAGUUUUGAUUUUGAGAGUUGAACUAGGGAGCAUGUGAGGGCUUGAGAGUUGAACAAUGGAUCUCAUAGACCUCAAAGCUGUCAAGUUAAUGCCUAUUCCUUUAUUAAUACCCUCAUCUACUGAUCAUUCUUCUAAUGGAAUUUAUGUUCAUAUCAAAUUGAUCAACUUAAAAUUUUGUCUUCUAAAUGCCUGUAAUCUUUAGUGGAGGGUUCUUAAUGUUCUAAUAUCACAUCAAUUCGAUCAAAUUUCUUAAAUUUCAAUUGUCAUUAAUAACUAUAGUUAUGAAAAAAGAUAAUGAAUUAAGCCCGUUUAAAGUUGCAAUGACUUAUUGAAAAGUACUUCACCUAAUAAAUUUUUUUCAUAAAAAUGCUUAUUAAAUGUUUGUUUAAGUACCUUCAAAUCUGUUAGUUAGAUACAUAUUUCAAUAAGUAUUCAUUGCAUGGGUUAAUAUGUAAUUUAAAUUUUAUUAAAUGUAUUUAUUUAUCUCUUUAUUGAGUUCAUAAUGUAGGAUUAAAUGACAAAUUUUAAUAUUUAAUUUUUUUUUUCAAAUGUGAAAACUAUAUUAAAAACACCAAAUUUUUUGAAUUUUUGCUAAAAACGCUUUUAACACCAAAAGUUUACUCCUAAAAUCAUCUAAUGAUAUUCACUAAAUGCUUCAAAAGCAUUUACAUCACUCAAAAGUGUUUUUUUUUUACCAAAAGCACCUCACUCCCAAAUCACCGCAAAAAGCACCAUACUUCCAUUCCAAUGGUGAGAUAAUGAACACAGCUGUAAAAUUUGACAACUGAUUUAAUCAUUAAGAGUCUAGUGUUGCACUAAGAGGGUGAUCAACCAAUGUAAUUAAAAACAAAACAGAAAAGCCGAUUCAAGGUUCGAUUCGUUAAAUUUGUAAUUCGAGCACGCCAUUGCUGGCUCCGGCCAGAAGUGCGGUCUGCGUAUUAAAGCAUUUGUCCUCGCUUUCGAGGAGGUUGAAUGUUGAUUCCACGUGGUGCCCAUUAGCACAGAUGAUGAUGAAAUGAAAGGAUGCUCUAAUACUAGUGCUUUAUUGAUGUUUCCCUGCUUUUUGUCACACUUUCUUCAAAGCGGAAAAGUUAAAUUUAAAAGAAAAAGGAAAAAGGGGCUCGAGCAAGGCCCCAGCUGAAUUUGGAGUUUGAGUUGUUAGAGUACAGGGCAAAUUACACUUUAUCCCUCAUAGUUUAGUAUUUUUGUAUAUAAUUCUCUAUGAUUUCAAAAGUUAUACCUAACCCUCUCAUAGUUUGGAUUAAAGUAUUAAAGUAACCAAAUUUGCAAUCCAUAACGGAGUCACCUAAAAUAUCAAAAAUGCCCUUAUGUAAAAUUAAAAAUUAUUUAUUAACCACAGGAAAUGUUAUGUGUAUAUUUUGAAAAUCAUAAGGGGUUAUAUGACAAAACAUUAAACUAUAAAGGGGUUAUAUGGUAAAACAUAAAAUCAUACGGGGUUAGUGCGUCAUGUAUAUUAUAGUGCGUCAUGUAUAUUAUGUUUAUAUAUUUUGGUCACUUCAACCAUUUUAAUUUUUAAAUAAGGGUAAUUUCGAUAUUUUUAAAAGUUUCGUUACGAAUAGUCAUUUCCAUUAGUUUGACACUUUAAUCCAAAUUAUUAGGUGGUUAUAUAUAGUUUUUGAAACUAUAGGAGGAUUAUGUAUAAAAAUACUAAACCACAAGAGGUUAAAAUGUAAUUUACCCUAGAUUAUAUUACUACAAUUUAACUAAGGUUAUUAUCACUUUACCUUCUUAAAUUAUAUCACUGCUAUCAAUUUAUCCUCUAAUGUUAUCUUUUAGUCAUUUCAUCCCUAUAAGUAAUUUAAUUCAACAUGUUAAGAAAAUUUGGACAAAAAUACCCCUUUAUUCUAUAGCAUUAUCACAUUGUUAUUAUCAUUUUAUCCCUUAAAAUUAUAGUGAUAUAAUCACUUUAAUUCCUAACAUUAUUUUCUAGACAUUUUAUCCCGUCGUUAAUCUAGCUAGUAUGGUAAAAAAAUUUUGAAAUAUAUUUUCCCUUUUAUAUAUAAUUAAAAAUAAUUAUUCUUCCUUUUUUUUCACUUUAAGAGAUCCAAAAAUAUAAAAAUAAAAGGGUUUUCUCAAAUUUCUUUUUCACACUUAUUAAUACUAUGAAAAGAAAAGGAAAUAGGAAAGAAAGAGACAGAAAAUUAAAUUCUACAAAUAAAGAAAAUAAAGAAGAGUCCAACAUUAUCGUAUUACUUUAAAGUUGUCGAGAUUAGGAUUGAAAUUUGGUGGUAAAUAAAAAAGUAAAAUAAUUUUAAAAUAGUAAAAGUAUUUAAUUCUUUCUUAUUUGUGUAUUUUUUUUAAAAAAGAGAAUUGAAAUCUUUCUCUCUCUCUAUGUCUUUCUCUCCUCCCCUCCCCAUUUUUCUAUUUUUUUAAUAUUAAUAAGAUUGUCAAGAAUAAAGAGAUUAACACUUUGUUUUUUUUUCUUGAUAAUAAAAAAAGAAGAAGAGCCACUUUAAAAUUUUUAUUAUUUUUAUUAUCCAAUGAGGAGGGUACUUUCUUCUAAACUUCUUUAACUUACUAAGUUGGUUUAAUGGUGGAAUAAAUUGUCUAAAAGAUAACUCUGUGGGGUAAAUUGAUAAUAAAGCUAUAGUUUAUGGGGAUAAAGUGAUAAUAAUUUUAAGCGUUAAAUAUGUUUUUUUACUUUAAUUAACAAACUCCAUUAAGUUUGACCGUUAAUUUUGGAGGUAAAGUCACUAAAAGAUAACGUUAAAAAAGAAAUUGAUAGUGAUACCGAACGUUAAGGGAGUAAAGUGAUAAUAAGCCAUUUAACUACUUUGUUGUUCAUUUGGUAUGAGUGGAACUUAGAAAACAUUCGAGUGUGCUCUUAGUUGGAAUUCUCAAAAGUACUGCUAAGAUUGAGUAGACAUCAUGAAACAAAGGUUUUGAUAAUACCAUGAACAAAGAUUAUAGUCUUCAGAUAAUACUAAGCGAUUAAUUAGUGUCAAGAGGAGGUGAGAUUUUUUUUUUUUAACAAAGUUGAGCAUGCUUAAGUCAGAAGCACUUAGACUUAACUCCUUCAGAUCAAUUACGUCAAAGGAUUGUACCUUAUUAGUAUGACAUGGAUUUAGGUAUGUUGCCGAUUUAAUUACAAAAAGUGAAUGAAAAGAUUAUCCCUGGGAAGGAUUUGGUUGUAAUCAAUUUAUAUAAAUCCCACUAUUGUAAAUGUCCCAUUUGAAUUGCUAUUUUUUGAAAAUUUUAUAAAAAAUAUAUAUAUUGUAAUGAUUUGAUAUAUAUGAAAUAAAAAGGUGAUUAAAAAAUAUAUUUAUAAAUAAUGUUAAAACUUUUCUUUAGAAAAAAUUUCCUUACAAAACAUUAAAUGUGCUUGCCAAUUAUACUUAAAUGAAGACAUCUCUUGUUUGAAUUGUGAUUUUUCGUAGAAAGUUUUUUAUGUUUUUUGUUAACAUAUUUUUAAUUAUUUUUAUCUCACAUGCAUCAAAUUUAUAUCUUUUUUUUUUAUAAAAACUCCCAAAAAUACCAAUUCAAAUGGACCGUAAGGGACUCGAGUCCUUGACCUUGAUGGGACAAAGGUCUCAUCGGCAAACCAUUAUCUGUAGUCGAUGGCUUAAAUAAGCUGAACAUGCGCCUUUUUUUCAGUCCAAGCAACAGUGUUUUCCAUUUACGCUCUUCCUCGUACAUAUAUCUGCGUAUAGCGUUGGAGUACAACUUUAGUUUUUUUUUUUUUUCGGCAAAAAUAGAUGUUGUAUAACCUACUCUAACCUAAUCUAAGGGAAGGGGCAGGGAAUGGUCAACUAAGACCAGCAGGAAAUGGUCAACUAAGACCAGCCACAUAUUGUGACUAAAUUGUGGGAGGCAGGGGUUGAUCCCCUGACCUCCAGCAUCACCAUUAGUUGUACUUUAAACAUUUGUUUUGAAUACAUAUCGUUGGCAAUUUUAUUGGUGGCUUUCUCUAACGUUGUGUGGGAACAAGUUCUCGAAUGUCUCAAAGACAAAUGGAAAAGUAGAGGCAUUUCAAUUUUUCAGCAUCAUCACGUCUUGAAACAAACACCAAUUAAAUUAGGGUAAAUUACUAAUAACUCUUUAUGAUUUCAUCUAUUAUCACAUAGCCACCUUAACGUUUCAAAAUAUUUACUUUACCUCUCUAUGAUUUUAUGUAAACUGAAAAUUUAAUAGAAAAUAGUCUAUAUAACGUCAUUCGUUGAAAUAUCAAUAGUAGUCUUAUUUAAAUGCUAAAUCAAAUCCUAACUUGGCCAUAUUAUACAAAAUUAUAAGGAGAUUGCGUGAAUAAAUGCAAAAGUUACGAGAAAUAAAAUAGAUACUUAUGCUAAUCAUAGGGGAGUUAAGUGAAAAUUAUGAUUUCAUCACACGUACUUUUAGAACGUAUGUGUUAAUUACUGUGUGCAUUCCGUCCAUUUUUUACUUUAUAUAAAAUUACAGAAGGAUUAUGUGGUUAUUUUGAAAUCUCAAGAUGAUCAUCUAGCAUUUAUGCAAAACCGUAGGGGAUUAUAUGUAAUUUACCCAACAAAUUGCCGCUAGACGGGUGUAAAUGACUUUUUCUUCCUCAUAAUUGAUAUCUGAAUACCGACUAUUAGUAGCAAAUAUUAAGUACUCAGUCUACGGGACCUAAAUCAAAGCAGUGUACACCAACUCUUGUAAAUUAAUGUCUUCUCUGAUAUAUGUGUUUGAAAAACUUUGCAACUUAAUUAGUAUUUACACCACUUCCCUUUUAUUCAAAAUUUCUUCAUUUUAUAGAAUAGAAAUAAUCUUCUUGAGCAGACAACUUUUGUCAAUAUACAUUUUCUUGAAUUUUGACGCCCUCAAAUUACAAUAAUUUUAAUGUCCCUUUGAUCUCCUGCUGCGCUGCUACACCUGUUAACAAAUAUUUCAUUUGUCCUUUCUGUAUGCGCCCCACUUUGACUUUCUCCCACACUUUUUCUUUAUCCCUCACCCUUAAAAAAAAAAAGAAAAGAAAAGAAAAAGCUAAUCUAGUACUGAUCCUGUUUUCUAUUGUCAGUUCUAAAUUUGAGUUGGAUAUUUAAUUUUAACAUGAAAAGAACUUUAAUUCUAGAUACCAAGAAAUUCGUUAAUAGAAAAUGGAAGCACUCAUAUACGAUGAUGUAUCAUCAGCUUUUCUGAGUACCACAAGAAACGGAAUCUAGUUCUAUAGAUUUCCGUAGCAAGAAUCUAGAUUCUGGUGGGCUGAUAAAUUCUGCCAUUUUCUGUGAUUUAGUAAUCAACAGGUGAAGUUAUCGCCCUUUUUAUACCUCAAGGCUUGAAGAUUCGGCCACUCGGAUUAAUUUAUACAACAUGUGUUCUCAUACCUAAUUUGGAGAUAAUGUCCUCCGCAUAUGCAAAAAUCUUCAAAAGCCCAAAAGAAAUGGAUAAUUCUUGAGCAUUAAUGAAUGAGGUCCAUACAUUAAACAAGCCAUUUUCAUGUAAACUCUUAACUAGAGCGAUAAGGAAAAGAUUGCAAACAAUCUUGUUCGAUCUUUCUGAUGAAAAUAGUAAUAUAUUGCUUGCCCUUUUUUUUUUAUUUUUGGAUAAAAUAAUAUAUUGCUUACUUGAAUAGUACGAGAACAGGAUACCUCGGAACACUUUUGAUUCUUGCUUCACAGAAACCAGACAAUAUACUAUGCUAUCAUCUGCGGAUAAAGAUGGACUUGUUAAUGUGCUGUAAUGCCUGUUACUAUGAGCAGUUACAAUUCGUAAUUACCAAACAUUUUUCAAAUUUGAUUUAAGCCAUCUCAGUCAGUAAAAAAGCCCGUUAGAACCUGAUUCAAACCAAAUGAAAAUUCAGACCAAUUAUAUAUAUUGCAUACAUACAAAUUCCAAUUAUAUUCCUGCUGAUGACAAACUACAGCUUUGUAUUUUCUUUCAAUGUUCAGUCAAUCAGCUAGGUAAUAAUCGAUAUAGUACAUGACAUGUUUUUAACUUUAGUAACUAGUAAUAAUAACCACCGGAGUCGGCGGAGGCUCUUUAGCUUUUUCCUACUAUCAGGUUCAGAGUUUGAAUCUUGUGCCUAAUAGUUGGCGGUGGGAAGGAUAAAAGAAGAAAAAAACUAGUAAUAAUAAUAAUGUAAUCUCUUAUAGCAGAAAUCAUUUGAUCAUCAGCUCUUUUUAGUCCCUGAUGAUUGCUGCGAAGAAUGUGAAGAGGGAUUUUUUGCGCUUGGACGGACCUUCUUGAACGGCAACAUGGAGAAGCAACCAGUGCUGCUAUGAUGUGAAACUUUCUUCCGACUCCAACAACUGCAAUGGGCUUCUGCUUCCUCAGCUUCAUCCUCCCUUCCCUUCAUUUUCUCCUUGUGCAGCUUUCUCAUUACAUAAACUUCAGAUAGAUCAAGACCACUACCCAUCGACAUUGGCUCGUUAUUCUAAGGUAUACCCUUAUUCACUAAUUACAAGUAGUAAACAACUGCUAUCUUUAGUUCGGGUUGGACUGUGAUGUGAAGGUUCGGAGCAGUCUUGGCGUGGAAUUUAUACAGAUUCCUGUAAGCUUGGGGGUCACGCAAAUUUUUGACUCCAGUCAGAAGUUUCUGUAUGGUUUGUCUGUUAGUCUUCAGCCAACUCACCAAUAGCUGAGUGGUGGACAAGCAAGAGUGUAGGACAAAAAUUUUGAUGCUUUCUUGUGGAAAUGUUGCAGUAGUAGUAUUCUUUUGACUUGGGUGUGUGAAGUGAUGGAACACAACGACAGGAUAUACGAAUAAAACUUCAAAUUCAGCACAAAUUUGAAGGCUUGUGAUUUCAAUUUGCUAGUUUUAGAUUACAAAACUUAUAAAGGAUUCACAAUAAAUGUUUGGAUAGCACAAAUAUCUCAAAUAAUCUUUCGCUUGCAUCGUAAACACAUUUCCCAACUCACCUUUUUAUAUUCUCAAUUAUCUUUUUAUAUAUCUCACAUACAUCACAUCACAAAAAGUGCUACAGUAAUUAUUCCAAAUAAUAUUUCAAAUAAUACUCUAUCCAAGUUUUUUAGAUUAAAAAGUGUUUGGAUUGUAAAUUAUUUCAGAUAUUUUUACUGUAACACUUUUUGUAAUGUGAUGUAUGUGAGAUAAAAAGGUAAUUGAGAAGAUAAAAAUGUGUAUUGAAAAUUAUAAUGGUGAUGUAAGCAAAUAUAUUUGGACAAAUAAUCUCCCGUCCAAACACACAAUUAGUAAUACUGUACUUCCUUUUUUUUUUUUUCUUUCCUAGUUUUGGACUUUAGUUUCAAGUCUGGCUACACAAGUGUUCCAAAGCUAACAUAUAAAAUGGAAUUGUACACAAUUGUAACAUAAAAUAUUACAAGAGCCCAGACUCAUCUUUGACAACUCUUAUUGCAUAAGAGAAUCCAAGAAUAAACACUUUGAUCUAGUCUUUAGUCUUUACAGCUGAAAGAUCAGUCCUUCCAGGAAAUAACGUUUGCAAAAUCUUUGACAGUUGACAGGAGUCUUCCACUUCCAUGAAACUAUGCAAUUCUCACGCGGAAAAUUUUUCACGGGAGCAUCCUUCGAGGGCCUAGGAGACUGUUUUUCUCUCUCUUUUCCUCCAAACGCAGCCUUAUUUGGAUUGCUAUUUUUAAGAGUUUUUAUAGAAAAAUAUAUUAUAACGAUUUAAUGUGUGUGAAAUAAAAAAAUAUUUAAAAAAAAUGUAAAAAUUUUUCAUGAAAAAUCACAGUCCAAACAAUAAUGAGAAAAAAAAAAAGAAACAUUUAUGCCGCGUGGAGGGUUAGGGACUUGUGAACUUAGCGGUCAAAAUUGUGGCCCGGUUUGAAACAAGGACAUCUCCUCCAUCAAGGCUCCGCGGCAUUACAUUUCACGCUCUUCCAUGGAAAAACACGCCCCCAGCUUAAAUCCUCAGUUUAAAUCUCUGCUUCAUGACAAAUUCGAAUGUAAUCCUUCUCGGAUACAUUAUCCAAGAUUAUUAACAACUCAAAUAUCAUAGACUCUAAAAGCAGGAAAUCAACUUGUAAAACGUGUGCAACUAGCUUGUUUCGAUUGUUGGUUUUUUACAGAAAAAUUUUUAUAUUUUUCGUGAACAUAUUUUUCAAUCAUUUUUUUUAAUCUUACGUGAAAGUAUAUUUAUUUACAAAAACUCCUAAAAAUAACCAUUUCAAAAAGAUUCUUGGCUAUUUUCGCGAACUGCAAAGCAAGGGGUUUAUUGAUGGACGAUGAGGACAUCUUAAGGACAUCUUAACCCUCAUAAAGUAUUGCUCUCAAUCUCAAUCAACAUGUCGUCAUGCGUGACUGACCCGUUUGAUGAGUUGAUCAAAAUAUCUGCUCAAUUCUGUGAUAUCCUUUAUUCCAUUAAUUAUGGAAAAUCAAUACAUUAACUUCAGCCUUUAGGCGACCCUAUGCAAGCACGGGAAGAUUGGAACUUCAAUUUCCUAAAAGAAAUAUAUGAACAGGUACAAGAAUCAAGUAGAAAUUUAUUUAUUCCAUAUAAUUGUUAUGCACUCCAUACAAAUCAAGAUAAUCAUAGACCAUCAAUCGGACAAAAAAAAUAAAAAGAAAGAAAAGAAAAGGGGAUCAAAGAAUGGGAUGCAAGUUAAAAAUGUACAGGGACUUGGCAGCCAAAGAAGCAGAACCAAAAUCCCGUGAUAUACAACAGUAGCUCCACUCAUUUCAAGAUUGCACAGCGGAUUCUGACGAAGGGAGGACUGCAGAACUCGGGUGGACUUUCUUGAACAUCCUGGAGACGAAACCACGGGAAGAAUUCUUGGUUUUUUGAGCAGCACAACUACUUUUUUCAUGGCCUUUCUGAUCCUCACGACCGGCUUCAACCUUCUCCAUCCUCUUCAGUUUUUCUUCGUACUUCUUCUUCAUGACAUAGGCUUCGGCAAGGGGGGCACUGAAACUCGACAUGGCUAAUCCUCAAUCAAUUGAACAAACGGUUUUAUCCGGAAAAACAAGAAGAGAGAAAAAGGUUGUAGGCUUAACGACGUGGGUUUUGGAAUUGAAGUGGUUUUUGACAAUGGAGAAUUGGGAGAGGCCUUAAUGGGGUAUAUAUAUAGAUUCUUGGGGGAUUGGGGAGUACGCAAUGGAUGACUCGAGAAGAUCCUUUCUUGGGGAAGUCUGCGUACGAAGGAACAAAGUCGGAUGUUUCGGGUUCCUAGUUGCUACAAGAUGGAAAGUGGCCUUGACGUUGAUUUAAUAGAUGAAGAAAAGAAUUUUGAUGUCACCGCUUUGCUGCCUUUCCCUAGGUGGCAAGGAAGUUUCCACUGGAGUCGGAGUGUAGGUUUCCUUGAAGUGGGAACUUAAUAGGUUUAUGGUUUAUAACCUCGUCAUCUGGUCAACAAUGGCGUGAGGUUCAGUAACUCCAAGUUUACGCCAUUCGAUGCGCUGAAUCAAGGCUGACUUUAGGAUAUGGC